GGAUUGAACGCUGGCGGCAUGCCUAACACAUGCAAGUCGAACGGGAGUAGCAAUACUCUAGUGGCGGACGGGUGAGGAAUACGUAGGAAUUUGCCCUUAAGUGGGGGAUAACCCGGGGAAACCCGGAUUAAUACCGCAUGACCUCGAAAGAGCAAAGUGGGGGAUCGCAAGACCUCACGCUUUUGGAGAAGCCUACGUCGGAUUAGCUAGUUGGUGAGGUAAUGGCUCACCAAGGCGACGAUCCGUAACUGGUCUGAGAGGAUGAUCAGUCACACCGGAACUGAGACACGGUCCGACUCCGUACGGGAGCAGCAGUGGGAAUA
This 323-nucleotide ribosomal RNA is filed under the name uncultured soil bacterium. RNAcentral's name for it is "bacterial SSU rRNA". It matches the Rfam family "Bacterial small subunit ribosomal RNA", at positions 27 to 363 of the family's 1533-position model. The record is from RNAcentral.